GCUAAAACAGUUCAGUUGGGAGAGUGUUAGACCGAAGAUCUAAAGGCCCCUGGUUCAAUCCAGGCUUCAGCA
RNAcentral lists this transfer RNA (72 nucleotides) under Perca fluviatilis (European perch). It matches the Rfam family "tRNA". Rfam says of the family: Transfer RNA (tRNA) molecules are approximately 80 nucleotides in length. Their secondary structure includes four short double-helical elements and three loops (D, anti-codon, and T loops). Further hydrogen bonds mediate the characteristic L-shaped molecular structure. tRNAs have two regions of fundamental functional importance: the anti-codon, which is responsible for specific mRNA codon recognition, and the 3' end, to which the tRNAs corresponding amino acid is attached (by aminoacyl-tRNA synthetases). tRNAs cope with the degeneracy of the genetic code in two manners: having more than one tRNA (with a specific anti-codon) for a particular amino acid; and 'wobble' base-pairing, i.e. permitting non-standard base-pairing at the 3rd anti-codon position. Lineage: Eukaryota; Metazoa; Chordata; Actinopteri; Perciformes; Percidae. The record is from Rfam by way of RNAcentral.